Molecule: ribosomal RNA, 250 nt
Filed under: uncultured bacterium
Lineage: Bacteria
Description: partial 16S ribosomal RNA
Rfam family: Bacterial small subunit ribosomal RNA
Source: RNAcentral
UACAGAGGCCUCGAGCGUUAUCCGGAAUUAUUGGGCGUAAAGGGUGCGUAGGUGGUUAUAUUAGUCGAAUGUCAAAGACCCGGGCUUAACCUGGGGAAGGCAUUCGAAACGGUAUUGACUAGAGUCAGUGAGAGGUAUGCAGAACUCAUGGAGUAGGGGUGAAAUCCGUUGAUCUCAUGGGGAAUACCAAAUGCGAAGGCAGCAUACUGGCACUGUACUGACACUGAGGCACGAAAGCGUAGGUAGCGAA